This 504-nucleotide ribosomal RNA is filed under the name uncultured bacterium. RNAcentral's name for it is "partial 16S ribosomal RNA". It matches the Rfam family "Bacterial small subunit ribosomal RNA", at positions 30 to 523 of the family's 1533-position model. The record is from RNAcentral.
AUUGAACGCUGGCGGCAGGCCUAACACAUGCAAGUCGAACGGUAGCACAGAGAGCUUGCUCUCGGGUGACGAGUGGCGGACGGGUGAGUAAUGUCUGGGAAACUGCCCGAUGGAGGGGGAUAACUACUGGAAACGGUAGCUAAUACCGCAUAACGUCGCAAGACCAAAGUGGGGGACCUUCGGGCCUCACACCAUCGGAUGUGCCCAGAUGGGAUUAGCUAGUAGGUGGGGUAAUGGCUCACCUAGGCGACGAUCCCUAGCUGGUCUGAGAGGAUGACCAGCCACACUGGAACUGAGACACGGUCCAGACUCCUACGGGAGGCAGCAGUGGGGAAUAUUGCACAAUGGGCGCAAGCCUGAUGCAGCCAUGCCGCGCGUAUGAAGAAGGCCUUCGGGUUGUAAAGUACUUUCAGCGGGGAGGAAGGCGGUGGAGUUAAUAACUUCACCGAUUGACGUUACCCGCAGAAGAAGCACCGGCUAACUCCGUGCCAGCAGCCGCGGUAA